UCUCAUUCUGUCACUGGGCUGGAAUGCGGUGGCAAGAUCUCGGCUCACUGCAACCUCUGCCUCCUGGGUUGAAGCAAUUCUCCUGCCUCAGCCUUCUGAGUAGCUGAGAUUACAGAUGCACGCCACCAGGCCUGGCUAAUUCUGGUAUUUUUAGUAGAGGUGGGGUUUCACCAUGUUGGCCAGGCUGGUCUCGAACUCCUGACCUCAGGUGAUUCACCCACCUCGGCCUGCCAAAGUUCUGGGAUUACAAGUGUGAGCCACCAUGCCUAGCCUGUUAAUUUUUUAAAAUAAGACUAGAAAAACUAAAAGAUUGCAUAGAUACUGUAUAUAAAACAGGCAAAAAAAGCAUUGUUUUAUUCAGUUUUUCUCUUACAUUUAUCUGGGGUAGAAAACAGUUUAGGCAAUGUCCUUUCAGAUUUAAUAAUCUACAGGUUUGUUCAUUCCCAACUCCCAUGAAAGCAGCCAUGAAAUUUGAGUCAUCCAGUGUAGAUGUGGAUCAGAUUGCUAAGGAAGAGGACGGGCUAUCAGAAAGUUAAUGACUUGGCCAGAUGCCAUCAUUUAAAGGAACAAAGAGGACAUUCAAAACUUAAUGGAAGUAUUCAGUCCAUGAGACAAGAAGACAUGCUUUCAUUUUAAUCAGCUUUUCCUGCAUUAUGUUCCAUGAGUUUGGUACGCCAGCAAAUUACCAACUUCAGGUUCUUAAGCUCACAGGAAAGAGAAACCAUUACUUUUCCAUGUUUUUCGAAACAGAACUGUCUGUACGCAACAGAAUUGGGACUCCAAGACCAAAGUAAGACUAUAAGUCUGCGGAUUUAUUUAUUUAUUUAUUUAUUUCUGGCUAGGUUGAGGCUUCCUCAAAACUUACCUGCCUUGAGCACAGUUGUUCCCAGCUCUUAGCACAUAAUAGAUGCUUAUUUUGAGCUUAUCGGAUUGAAUUGAAUAUUAGGAGGUGGCUUUGACUUGCUGGGAUUAUUUUUAGGAUCCUUAGUUCCAGACUGGGUUAGCAGUUGUAGUAAAAAUAAGAGGACGAUACCUGAGUAGAAAAAAAGAGGGUCUUGGUGAGAUGCUUUUCAUGGUUAGAAUAUGGUAUCCCAGAUCAGAAAAGAGAGAGGCAUCAAUUGGAAUCCCAUCAAUGUAAGUCAGGAAAAUUGGCCUUGACUUCAGACUGGGGACUGGCUUUCCAGCACUCACAGAGGACAUGGCCACAGGGAUAGCAGAGGCAGGUGUAGACUGGUGAGCCACCAUGAGGAGCAGAGGGAGGUACCCUUUGAAAAUAUCAGAAUUGGCCAGGUGCAGUGGCUCACGCUUA
RNAcentral lists this long non-coding RNA (1309 nucleotides) under Homo sapiens (human). Its description in RNAcentral is "HSALNT0192687". Lineage: Eukaryota; Metazoa; Chordata; Mammalia; Primates; Hominidae. The record is from RNAcentral.